UGGGGAAUAUUGGGCAAUGGGGGAAACCCUGACCCAGCGACGCCGCGUGAGGGAAGACGGUCUUCGGAUUGUAAACCUCUUUCAGCAGGGAAGAUAGUGACGGUACCUGCAGAAGAAGCCACGGCUAACUACGUGCCAGCAGCCGCGGUAAUACGUAGGUGGCAAGCGUUAUCCGGAAUUAUUGGGUGUAAAGGGUGUGUAGGCGGGAUUGCAAGUCAGAGGUGAAAAUUAUGGGCUCAACCCAUAACCUGCCUUUGAAACUGCAGUUCUUGAGAGUGGGAGAGGUAAGUGGAAUUCCCGGUGUAGCGGUGGAAUGCGUAGAUAUCGGGAGGAACACCAGUGGCGAAGGCGACUUACUGGACCAUUACUGACGCUGAGACACGAAAGCGUGGGGAGCAAACAGG
RNAcentral lists this ribosomal RNA (404 nucleotides) under uncultured bacterium. Its description in RNAcentral is "bacterial SSU rRNA". It matches the Rfam family "Bacterial small subunit ribosomal RNA", at positions 355 to 776 of the family's 1533-position model. The record is from RNAcentral. RNAcentral also lists the same sequence under 1 other name.